RNAcentral lists this long non-coding RNA (10023 nucleotides) under Olea europaea (common olive). RNAcentral describes it as "long non-coding RNA (OEUR_LNC012554)". Lineage: Eukaryota; Viridiplantae; Streptophyta; Magnoliopsida; Lamiales; Oleaceae. The record is from RNAcentral.
CUGCACUAUGAACAAUGUUCGCAGCCUUCCUCAGCCGCCUCUCCCGCCAGAAACCACCGCCCUCAAUCACCCUUAACUCCAAUCGCCACCCGCUCUCCACCACCACCUCCUCCUCCUACUCCUACUCGUCCCUCUACACUAAAUACUCUUUCGUGCCACCAGCCUCUCUCAACCCCCACAACUCCAUUAAGCCCCAGACCAGAACCUCACUCCAACAUCAACCCAACCAUAAAAAACCCUCCAAACCCCCGUACCGCCCACCAUCAUCCCUCGACAGGUCUGGUCAAGAGCCAGUCCAUUCCAACCUUCCUUUUGAUUUCCGGUUCAGUUACACCGAGAGCAGUCCAAAUGUCAGACCCAUUGGCCUUCGCGAGCCCAAGUACUCCCCAUUCGGGCCGGGCCGCCUGGACAGGUCCUGGACAGGUGUUUGUGCCCCGGUGACCGACCUGAAGGAGUGGUCCUCGGAAAAGGAGGAAGAUUUGGAGGAGAAGAGGAAAAUAUUGAGAGAGAGAGUUCAGGGAGAGCCGUUGACGAAUGCUGAGAGGAAAGCUCUCGUCGAGAGGUAUCAAAGGCACCGGACGAAGAAGCAAAUUAAUUUAGGUAUUUUAAUCUUUUAACUUUUUUCCUCGCUGCUUCAUUCUGUGAAUUGAACAUUGAUUUCAGGGUGAAUUGAUUUUUUUGUACUCUUUUCUACAGUAUAGAGCAAAUUCUUAAAUGAUUAUUCAUCAAUUACUACAUGAAUAAGUAGAAAAGAAAGAAAUGAAUGGAUGGAUAAGAGAAUUUGAAUAAAAAAAACUGUAAACUCUGCAAGAUAUGUGCAAAUUAUAUUGACACUUGGAAUAUUAGCACUGUAAGUUGAGCCUGCGCGAGUUUUGGUUUGGGGCAGAUUUGACUUCAACCCGAAACCAAAUAAGUCAAUUUGGGUGAAUUUCAACUCAAACCAACCCAUUCUAGCUCUUAAACCGAACCAAACUUUCUAAACCAAACCAAAGUUUGGUUCAAUUAGUCGGUUUCGCGGCACUGUGCAGCGUCAACCCCCACAUAUGGUCUUACGACUUUGCGGAGACCUGUGUUUUUGGUAAACAGUCGUCCAAGCCUGAUCGCCCAGGGAAUAAUGAAGCUUUAUAGGGUUUUUUUGUCUAGGUGCAAGUAGUCCGCAUGCUAGGAAAUUAAGAACAUAAAUCCAGUAGCCCAAACAAGAUGUCCAAAUAAGAACAUCCAUGCCUAGACCGAUAACCUAUUCAGGACUUGAACCAGAGAUCUCGCCCGUGAAGUAAAUCAUCGCACCUAUGGUCCAGCCAAUUGGAACACGAUAACUGGUACACUAGAGGUGCAUCCUUCCUGGUCUCGGUUUCGACUUUUAGUCGACAUUGAUUUUUAAAAAAAAAAUAAAAAUUGUCCGAGUUCUAAGCCUACUUAGAUUACAAGAACUAAAAUAACCAAAUAAUUUUAUAUUAUAAGAACCAUUGACUAACAAAUAAAAUUAGGUUAAUGGAGACGGAUCAACGGAAAACUUAAAAAAUUUCUUUUUCUUUUUAUGUAUUAUGUAGUCUUACUGCUAUUAUUUACCAGCAACAUCAGGGAAUCGAGAUAUAGUUAUGAGAAUAGGGCUUAUCUUUUGAUUUUGAUUUUUCUUAUAUUAAAACAAAGGUAAAUAUGUAAGUGGGUUGUGUUGGUUUGGUUAACCAAUUGUUUGAGACCGUUGGUUCAGUUAACCAACGGUUUGAGAUUUCAAAUCAUGAUUGAGUCGACACACCAUGAUUUUGUUUAAAAGAAAAACAAACAAACCAAUUACUUAGGUCAAAUGGGUCAGUUCUGUUUGAUUGAUUUGGUCGAUUUUUUUGCUCAGGCCUAGUUGUAGAAAGCUACAUACUUUCCACGAAAUUGUCAUGACUAGAUUGACAUGAAAGAAAAAAAAAUGAGAGGGAAAAGGAGCACAAUCGCACUGGAUUGUAGUUUUCUUCAAGUUGUUAUGGGGAUGAGGGGUCUAGGAAUGUGGAAGUAUUUGAUGUUGAAUGCGGGAAAGCAUGGAUUAAUAUCCUUGCCAAAAUUAAGCCCCGUUUGGCCCCCAUUAAAUUUCAUUUUAUUUUUCUCUCUCCUAUUAUCAACCACACAAUCUUUCAUAAAAUAAUACUGCACGUAAUCCGAAAACUUUUCAUUCUUUUUCAACCACUCAUUUUAAAUAAAAAAAAAAAAACCCACUAUUCCACCCUUUAUCAUUUCAAAAAAUGGGGGCCAAACAGAGGCUAACUUCUGAUCGAAAUGUAAUGGUUGAUCCUUUUGCAGUUCCUUUUUUUCAUAUAUUGCAUAUUUUCAUGAUAAAUAUCAGAGAUCAUGAAAUGAUGAAACAUGCCGAGGAGUGUCUAGGAGCAAAAGAAAAGCCUCUUGAGCAAUUAGGGUCAGUUGUAGAAGUUUGUCACUGGCUGUGCUUGUUACAAUUUUUUUUGCCCAUAGGCAGCCAACAGAACAAGAUAUUCGAUUUAUGUGGUCAUGAGAUUGAAGUAAAGAACAUAUGGUUUAGUUUUUGGUAUCUUUCUAAGUAAUUAAGUUUAAACUGGUACUCAGGUACCACAUGGGCUCCAGUUAAUGUAUUGUAAUGAAAAAUGGGUAAUUAAUUGAUCUGGUAUAUUUUUGAAAAAACAUUCUUUUAUCGCACGAAUAAACGAGUUAAUUGUUCCAAUGGUCACUGAAUUUAGAUCCAUGUCUUUGAUUGGCCACUGAACUUUGAAAAAUAUCGAGUUUUGGUUAUUGAACUUAGGUUUAUGUCUUUGAUUGGUUACUGAAGUUUAAAAUGUCAAAUUUUGGUUACUGAAUUUAGGUCCAUGUUUUAGAUUGCUCACUAAAGUUCAAAAAUGUCGAGUUUUGGCCAUUGAACUUUGGAAUAUGCCGUACGUUUCUCACUGAUAUAACUGUUGAACUUUGAAAAAUAUCGAGUUUACAGUGAAUAAUGUACAACAUUUUUCAAAAUUCAGUGUUUUAAAGUUCAGUGGCCAAUCAAAGACAUAGACCUAAGUUCAGUGAUCAUUGGAAUAGUUAACUCUGGAUAAACUACAUAUGCAUAAGCAAGAUCACAUUUGGGGUACCUGGCUUUGUCUUUAACUUUGUACAUGUACAUUUUUUUAGGGAGGAAUGGUUUAACACACAACAUGUUGAAUGAUAUUCAUAAUCACUGGCAACAUGAUGAGGCGGUCAGGAUAAAGUGCAUGGGUGUGCCUACUCUUGAUAUGAAAAACGUGUGCAUGCAAUUGGAGGUAUUUCCUUUUCUUCGUGUCUAUUGGAGCAUCCUCGCUGUAUCCCUUUUUCUUUUUUAUCAUUUAUUGUGAUAUAUUCCAAUCUUAAGGUCCGAAAUUUGUUUUUCUUCUGAGCGGUAUAAUUUUACUCAUAAAAUUUUUUAUUUUUCUCGUGACUGUUGUAUAAAUUACAUUCAGGAGUAUGUGUAUCCGUGGUUCAUGAUUUUUCUUUUUUAUUUUGUUUAUUAAGGUAUUUUGCAUAUCUUCCAGGAUAAAACAUUUGGCAAGAUCAUUUAUAGACAUGGCGGUCAACUUGUAUUGUACAGAGGUAGGAAUUAUCAUCCUAAGAAAAGACCUGUGAUUCCAUUAAUGCUAUGGAAGCCUCAGGAGCCAGUAUAUCCAAGGCUUAUAAAAACAACUAUCGAUGGCCUAAACAUUGAGGAAACUAAAAAAAUGAGGAAAAGAGGAUUAUCUGUCCCCGCCUUAACAAAGCUUGGUAAAAUUUCUUCCAUUCUUGAUUUUGUUACUAUAUCUGAUGUACUUCUACUAAUAGUUGAAUAAUAAUUGCAGCCAAAAAUGGUUAUUAUGGUAGUCUCGUGCCUAUGGUCCGGGAUGCUUUUCUCACUGAAGAGUUUGUACGGAUAGAUUGUAAAGGCCUUCAGAAGAGUGACUACAAGAAAAUUGGCUGCAAACUGAGGGUAAUACUUAGUAAAGCAUAUUAUUUUAUUUGAUAUUGCAUAUGAUUUCACCUCUAUUAGCAUGAAAAGACUUUUGCUUGCUUUUAUACUUAAUUUUUUCGUGUUGAUCCAUUAUGUAAACCUGACACUUCUUAUAUAUAUAUAUAUAUAUAUAUAUAUAUAUAUAUAUAUAUAUUUCUUCCUCUCACUCAUUGAUUCUUAGAAUAACAAUCUUGUAAGAUAGAAUUUUCUUUUUAAUUACUGUGAUGAUAAGAGCUAUACAUUGAAUUCAUAAAACAAAUAUAAUUUUAUUAUUAAAAUAUCAAAAGCUACGCACCUUACUUUAGGAGUUCUUACAUCCACUUCUUAGCCUGAGCAAAUGAAUCGUGAUUCAUAAAACAAAAAAAACAAAAAAAUUAAAUCAUCUAAACCAUAUAAACAAAAGUCUAGCAUCAACUUCUUAUCCAUGCAAGUGAAUCUUGAUUCACCUUCAAACUGGCAUCAUAGUAAUUAAAACACAUUAUACCAACCAACGAAUCAAGAUUAGAGUAGCAGAUAGCAACAACAAAAAACAAGUACAAAGGCUGGAAGAAAAACAGUUCUCUUUGCUGUCAAUAAAUACUAUGAAGAAUAUCAGAAUGAACAAGAAAUGUACUAUGAAAACCUAUAGCAUCUACAGAUAACAUGUCAAAGUGAAAAAUACCAUAGUAACAAAUAUUUAAUGAAAUCUGUUCACUUUAAAUUAGGAGGGGGAGGAAUCUGCUUACUUUCAUAUUCUUAUGAUGCAUAUUAUCGUGCUGAUAUGAAAACAAAUUUCAUUUUUUAUAUAUCAGCCAACGGAUGAUAUUUAAAUAUAGACCAGUGUACCCAGUAAUUAUAUCAAUCUAUUUCAUUUUGUUUGAGAAUUUGACAAGGAAAUAUUUUUUCCCAAUUAGAUAGAACUUACCUAGAUAUACUGUAAUCAUAAAGACCUUUAUCUUGAAAAGACCAUUUUGCAAAUCAUUAACAUUACUUAAGCAAGUAGGGAACACAAGGGUAAACAAACAUGAGAAAUUUCCUCUGAUGUAUAUAUCAUUCGUGCUCUACUCUUUAAGUUGUAACCACAGCAUCAAUAGCUGUGUAAAUACCUCGUCUAAGAUCCUUUGAGUUCAUGCAAGUUCCAAUUGACUUGCUACCCUCAGUAAAUAUUGGAUGAGUUAGGACAAUAGCACAUGUAGUACCUAUAUGUAUUUCAUAGAAUAUAUUCAAUUGGAUCCAAAAACUUUAUUGUGUAGGUCUCGUAUAUAUUUACAAGAAAUGAGUAGUCUAUAACCUAAUUAAGUAGAGAACUUACCAUCCCCAGCAGCAUCAUUGGUGGAACUUGCAUCCUGCUUUACGAGGCUCGCACCAGUAUUUUUGACUUUUUCCUUCAACUGAAUACUCUUUGCCACAUUGUAUAGUCCUAUAGAGUCCCAUCUUUCACUUCCAAUACAUGGUUAACAAUUUGACUUAGAAAGCAUUGAUCAUGAAAAACCCUAAUAUCAGUAUCUUUGUACUCAUUUAUUGUCUUCUAAUGUGACAUAUAGAACAAGUUAAAGGAGAAAAAGAAGACAAAAUAAAUUAAAAGCUAUAUGAGACAAGAGUAACAAGUGUAGAGCAAGGGAAUAAAAAUAUAGGCAUAACUGAAAGAGAAUGAAAAUAAACAUCUCAUGUGCCAAAGGUAACAACAAUCAUGUCAUUAUAUUUAAAAAUCAUGGGUAGUGUACGAAAGGAUAUAAAAGAUGGGAGUUAAAUAUAUGUUAGACCUUGUUCAAAUGCUCAUAUUGUUAGUUUCCAAGGCCAAAUAUUCCAUACUGAAGAUUCUUAAACCAGUCUCCUCUGUAAACCACUUAUAGAACUUUGUUGCAUUCUCGGUAGGCUCACCAUUACCAUAUCUACAACCAACAAACAACCAUCAAAACUUAAAUUGCAUACUAACUCAUUUACCCUCUGAUUUUUUGGCAAAUACAAAUAUGCAUUUAUUGUUGAAACUUAAAAUCAUAUGCACACAAAUAACUAAUUAUUAUACAUUUGGCAUGUACAUAUACACAAUUUUGGGUUUUUAUUUAAUUCAGGUACAGCUAGAAGUAGAAUUGAUGAAUUUAUGUGGCAAGAAAGAAGAAUGCCAAAUUUUCCUUCCCUAUGAUGGUUAAAAAAAUAUCAAUUGAAAAUUAAAAUCACAAAUUUACUCAAUGAACAAGCAAAGCAUAAGUAGAAUAUUCCCUCUAAAAUGGAAAAUGAACAUGAAAAUUCACUAUAUUGCUCACUUUAAUUAGGCUUUUUAUAUCUAGCUUUAGCUCCCUAAUUGCAAAAAUAAAAAAUAAAAAAUAAAAAAUUGAAUUAUGAAGAUUUGAGAAGGAAUAUUUGUUACUUUGGAAAGUCUAUUUGCGUUUUCUGAUUUUCUUUCAUACCACAACAUAUAUGUAAAAAUUCCAAAGGACGUCACGUGACAUAAAAUAACAUAUUUUUUUAAAACAAAAACCGAAUAGAUAAAAAAGGGGAAAAAAUAAAAUAGUACUUGGGAUGGCAGCCUCGGUAAAAUCUAGUCGCAAUGAUUCUUCGCUCAAUCUUCCUGCUGCUCUCUGUUGUCAAAUUCUUUCUGACUGCAAACAUAUGCAAUCGCUCUUAUACAAGAAAUUAAAAAAUUAAUGCAAAAAAGAGAGAAAAAUAAAGAUAUUGUACAGAUCAAUAGAGAAAAAUUAUGAGAGAAAUCAACGUACUGUUCAUCGGUCUAGUGAUGCAAUGCAAGAAUCCAUUUUAUCCUCUACUGGAAUUAAGAGAUGGAGCAAGAGAGAUUUAUUGUUCGAAUAAUUCAACAAUUGACCUCAUGUCCUCUCGAAAAGAAAGCAAUCGGGCAAGAGGGUUUGACAUAUAUUUACAGGAUGUUAUGGACUAUCGAGAUAUUGAAGAGUUGGAAGCAGCUGAAGGAGGUGGUUUUGACGGUCGAGGGGGUAGCGGAAGAAGUGGAGAUGUUGCAGCAGAUUUCUAGGGCUUGUGCCAAAGAAGAAUGUAAUACAAAUGAAUAAGGAAUGGGGAUACUUAGCUUCAUGUACAGUGAGAAAAAAGAAAAGAAAAUGUAUUAGGGAAGCUACCCAAAUGUCCAUAUUGCCCUUUUUUGGUAUGGUCAAGAGGAGGCGAUUCACCGUUGUAUUUAAGGAUAAAAUGGGAAAGUAAAAAAGCUUCCUAAAUGAAUAGUUGAUGGAGGAUUCUCUCUUUUAAGAGAGUAGAAAAAAUAUGAAUUUAUUUUAUAUUUAAAAGUCAUUUAUUGUUCGUUAUUUUCGACUAAAUGAUGAUGGGUGAUUGUGUAUAGAAACGGAGAAGUAAAGAGACAUGGUUGAUAGCGUGAAAAAAUGGAGAAAUAGAUUGUGUGUCAGAUUCAAACCAUGCAUGAGAAGACUCUAGAUUCCAGGGUUUUAUUAUUAUAAAAAAAGGACCAAACUAGUUUUCAAACUAGUUCAAUGUGAAAAUCAGUGUGAUGAAAAUGAACAAUAAACAUCACAUUCUCUCUGUUAAGGUAAAGAGGGAGAGAAAUUGUUUUUAACAAAAUGAUGUAGAUUAUAAUGAGAAAAUUGUCGCAAAAAAUAAUAAACAUUAAUAAAAUAUUUGAUUUCUAUAAGAAAAAAGACGAACUAUACGCAUUUUUUAACAUACGCGUUUGAUGUACGUUUAACUAUUUUUACUCUUUAUUUAAAUCAUUCGAUAUGUCUAUAAUAUAGUUCUCGAGAUGAACUUCUAGAUAAUAUAGAAGAUUUCUGGAUUCGACUACCGUACAAUCAUCAAUGAAUUUUUAAAAUUAGCUUGUUAUCGAAAUUCUUGAAAUAAUAGUUUCGAAAUGCAUAUUUUGACGCCCCGUAGUAUUUGCUACGAUUGGCCGUUUCACGCACUGUCAACGACGUGCAGUACUAUGCUGUGAGUACUUCAAAAUGAUAUUAAGAACGUAAUACUUCUACUUCGUUUGAUAUCCCAUAAUGAGCCCGAAAAUUAAAAAAAAAAAAAAAAGAUAGCAUUUUGCUCAAAUGUUCCGUGCAUGGUGCACGGAGCUUUAUAUAUAUAUAUAUUUUCAAUUUUUUUUUUAAAUAACUUGAAGCAAAUUUUGUACUCAUAUGUAACCCUAGAAAUAUACUCAAAAUUUAAAAUUAAUAUUUUUUUUACUUAUAAGUAGUUUUUACAAUUUUAAGUUUUUUUACUCUUAAAUAACUUCAAGCAAAUUUUUUUUACCUAUAAGUAACUUUUUAUAUUUAAAAUUUUUUUUUUAUCUUAUUAUUAGUCUAGUGAUUUUUUUAGUUAUAAGUAACUUUUUAUAUUUUAGAUAAAUAACUUUAAGCAAUUUUUUUACCCAUAUGUAACUUUUUACAUUUUAGAAAUAAUUUUUCUAUAUUAUUAGUCGAAGUGAUUUUUUGAGUUAUAAGUAACUUUUUAUAUUUCACAUAGAAAUAAAGAAUAUUUAGAUAUAUUUAAUUUUUUUAAAACUAAAUAUUAAUAAAAGAAUUUAAUAUACAUAAAAAAAUACAGUAGAGUCUCUCCGUGAACGGAGGAAAAUUGCUCCGUGCACGGUCGAAAAUUUCUCUGUGCACGGAGCAUUUUUGAUUUCUGAAAGAAAUUUUUUCUUUUUUGUUUUUUUUAAGUUAUUAUUAUUAUUAUUAUUUUUAAGUUAUGUUUUUAUUUUCAUUUUCAGGCUCAUUACGGUAUAUCAAAUGAAGUCGAAAUAUUACAUUUUUAAUAUCAUUUUGAAAUACUCACGAUAUAGUAUUGCACGUCAUUAAACGAUCAAUCGUAGCAGAUAUUACGGGGCAUCAAAACAGUCAUUUCCAAACUAUUAUUUCGAAAAUUUCGAUAACAAGCUAACUUUAAAAAUUCAUCGAUGAUUGUACGAUAGUCGAAUCCAUAAAUCUUCUAUGUUCUCUUGAAACUCAUUUCGAGAACUAUAUCAUAAACACAUCGAAUGAUCUAAAUAAAUAUAAAAAAUAGUUAAACGUACACCAAACGUGUGUGUAAAAAAUACGUAUAACUCGUCUUUUUUCUUAAAAAAAAUAAUUAUUUUAUUAACGUUUAUUAUUUUUUCGUGACAAUUUUCUCAAUAUAAUUUACAUCAUUUUGUUAAAAAAAUUAUUUGGUAAGACAUAAAUAUUUUUUUUGGACGUAAAAAUUUCUAAUAAAAUUAUUAUCAUUCUUACAUAAAAGUGAUUCUUUGAAAAUAAAAUAGUGAUUAAAAAAAUUAUCAACAAAUAAAAAGAUUACCAAUAAAAAAAUCCAAACAAACGAAAAUAAAGAGUGGUUGAGUACAAAGUGAAGAGAUGAUAGUUGGUGGGAGGUAUGGAAAGUUGCGUGUUGCAGUAAAUUUAGAUUGUCCCCUUUAUACUAUUAAAAAUAGCUCACACCCACUAUAAAAAAAUAUUGCAAUAGUCUGGAAUAAAUUACUAUUAUCAAACCAGUUCCAAACUAAUUCAAUGUGAAAACGAGUGAGACAAAAAUGAACAAUAAACCCUCGUUCUCAAAAAAAAAGUUGAACCCCAACCUUAAGUGCCCCCCACCGCCCCUACCUUGGAGAAUCGUGAGGGAGUUAAAUUGCAGGUUAUGCCUCCAAGGGUACAGGGUGGAAGGUUAUUUGUACACUUGCACUAACCAAGAGCUAAAUCCAUAUUUCAGAAUUCGAACCCUUGGCGUAUCAACCUCAAACAAAAUUGAAUUUCUUUACCCUCUCCUUUUAUCAAUUGGAGAUGUGGCCCGAGGGCAACCCUCUUUCUCUCUUUUAUGUGGUGUAGAUAUAUAAAGCCAAAUUUAGGCUUAAGCUGCGAAAUAUUUCUGUCGGCCUGCACUAUGAACAAUGUUCGCAGCCUUCCUCAGCCGCCUCUCCCGCCAGAAACCACGGCCCUCAAUCACCCUUAACUCCAAUCGCCACCCGCUCUCCACCACCACCUCCUCCUCCUCCUACUCGUCCCUCUACACUAAAUACUCUUUCGUGCCACCAGCCUCUCUCAACCCCCACAACUCCAUUAAGCCCCAGACCAGAACCUCACUCCAACAUCAACCCAACCAUAAAAAACCCUCCAAACCCCCGUACCGCCCACCAUCAUCCCUCGACAGGUCUGGUCAAGAGC